UGGGGAAUUUUGGACAAUGGGCGAAAGCCUGAUCCAGCAAUGCCGCGUGUGUGAAGAAGGCCUUCGGGUUGUAAAGCACUUUUGUCCGGAAAGAAAUCCUUGGCUCUAAUACAGUCGGGGGAUGACGGUACCGGAAGAAUAAGCACCGGCUAACUACGUGCCAGCAGCCGCGGUAAUACGUAGGGUGCAAGCGUUAAUCGGAAUUACUGGGCGUAAAGCGUGCGCAGGCGGUUUGCUAAGACCGAUGUGAAAUCCCCGGGCUCAACCUGGGAACUGCAUUGGUGACUGGCAGGCUAGAGUAUGGCAGAGGGGGGUAGAAUUCCACGUGUAGCAGUGAAAUGCGUAGAGAUGUGGAGGAAUACCGAUGGCGAAGGCAGCCCCCUGGGCCAAUACUGACGCUCAUGCACGAAAGCGUGGGGAGCAAACAGGAUUAGAUACCCUGGUAGUCCACGCCCUAAACGAUGUCAACUAGUUGUUGGGGAUUCAUUUCCUUAGUAACGUAGCUAACGCGUGAAGUUGACCGCCUGGGGAGUACGUCGCAAGAUUAAAACUUAAAGGAAUUG
Molecule: ribosomal RNA, 563 nt
Filed under: uncultured bacterium
Lineage: Bacteria
Description: partial 16S ribosomal RNA
Rfam family: Bacterial small subunit ribosomal RNA
Source: RNAcentral